CAUGCUACCAUGCAGUCGAACGAUGAUCCCUAGCUUGCUGGGGGGAUUAGUGGCGAACGGGUGAGUAACACGUGAGUAACCUGCCCUUGACUCUGGGAUAAGCCUGGGAAACUGGGUCUAAUACUGGAUACGACCGACUAUCGCAUGGUGGUUGGUGGAAAGCUUUUGUGGUUUUGGAUGGACUCGCGGCCUAUCAGCUUGUUGGUGGGGUAAUGGCCUACCAAGGCGACGACGGGUAGCCGGCCUGAGAGGGUGGACGGCCACACUGGGACUGAGACACGGCCCAGACUCCUACGGGAGGCAGCAGUGGGGAAUAUUGCACAAUGGGCGCAAGCCUGAUGCAGCGACGCCGCGUGAGGGAUGAAGGCCUUCGGGUUGUAAACCUCUUUCAGUAGGGAAGAAGCGAAAGUGACGGUACCUGCAGAAGAAGCGCCGGCUAACUACGUGCCAGCAGCCGCGGUAAUACGUAGGGCGCAAGCGUUAUCCGGAAUUAUUGGGCGUAAAGAGCUCGUAGGCGGUUUGUCGCGUCUGCCGUGAAAGUCCGGGGCUUAACUCCGGAUCUGCGGUGGGUACGGGCAGACUUGAGUGAUGUAGGGGAGACUGGAAUUCCUGGUGUAGCGGUGAAAUGCGCAGAUAUCAGGAGGAACACCGAUGGCGAAGGCAGGUCUCUGGGCAUUAACUGACGCUGAGGAGCGAAAGCAUGGGGAGCGAACAGGAUUAGAUACCCUGGUAGUCCAUGCCGUAAACGUUGGGCACUAGGUGUGGGGGACAUUCCACGUUUUCCGCGCCGUAGCUAACGCAUUAAGUGCCCCGCCUGGGGAGUACGGCCGCAAGGCUAAAACUCAAAGGAAUUGACGGGGGCCCGCACAAGCGGCGGAGCAUGCGGAUUAAUUCGAUGCAACGCGAAGAACCUUACCAAGGCUUGACAUGAACCGGAACGGCGCAGAGAUGUGUCGGCCACUUGUGGCCCGGUUUACAGGUGGUGCAUGGUUGUCGUCAGCUCGUGUCGUGAGAUGUUGGGUUAAGUCCCGCAACGAGCGCACCCUUCG
RNAcentral lists this ribosomal RNA (1049 nucleotides) under Arthrobacter parietis. Its description in RNAcentral is "bacterial SSU rRNA". It matches the Rfam family "Bacterial small subunit ribosomal RNA", at positions 47 to 1107 of the family's 1533-position model. Lineage: Bacteria; Bacillati; Actinomycetota; Actinomycetes; Micrococcales; Micrococcaceae. The record is from RNAcentral.